RNAcentral lists this ribosomal RNA (40 nucleotides) under Peziza fimeti. Its description in RNAcentral is "partial 18S ribosomal RNA". The record is from RNAcentral. Lineage: Eukaryota; Fungi; Ascomycota; Pezizomycetes; Pezizales; Pezizaceae.
CAAGGUUUCCGUAGGUGAACCUGCGGAAGGAUCAUUAAUG